This 509-nucleotide ribosomal RNA is filed under the name uncultured bacterium. RNAcentral's name for it is "bacterial SSU rRNA". It matches the Rfam family "Bacterial small subunit ribosomal RNA", at positions 29 to 513 of the family's 1533-position model. The record is from RNAcentral.
AACGAACGCUGGCGGCGUGCCUAAUACAUGCAAGUCGAGCGAGAAAGUGGCUUCGGUCAUGAGUAAAGCGGCAGACGGGUGAGUAAUACAUAGGUAACCUUCCCUCAAGAUGAGGACAACCUUCCGAAAGGAGGGCUAAUACUGAAUGAGACCACAGUGACACAAGUCACAGGGGUUAAAGACGGCCUCUAUUUAUAAGCUUUCGCUUGAGGAUGGGCUUAUGCACCAUUAGCUAGUUGGUAGGGUAAUGGCCUACCAAGGCUUCGAUGGUUAGCUGAUCUGAGAGGUUGAUCAGCCACACUGGAACUGAGACACGGUCCAGACUCCUACGGGAGGCAGCAGUAGGGAAUAUUGCGCAAUGGAGGAAACUCUGACGCAGCGACGCCGCGUGGGUGACGAAGGUCUUCGGAUCGUAAAGCCCUGUCGGAGGGGACGAAAGACACCAAGAUAAUACCUUAGGUGGGAUGACGGUACCCUUAAAGGAAGCACCGGCUAACUACGUGCCAGCA